CCUACGGGUGGCAGCAGUGAGGAAUAUUGGUCAAUGGCCGAGAGGCUGAACCAGCCAAGUCGCGUGAGGGAAGACGGCCCUACGGGUUGUAAACCUCUUUUGUCGGGGAGCAAAGACAGUCACGUGUGACUCACCGAGAGUACCCGAAGAAAAAGCAUCGGCUAACUCCGUGCCAGCAGCCGCGGUAAUACGGAGGAUGCGAGCGUUAUCCGGAUUUAUUGGGUUUAAAGGGUGCGCAGGCGGAGGGUCAAGUCAGCGGUAAAAUCGCGGGGCUCAACCCCGUAGUGCCGUUGAAACUGCAUCCCUUGAGUGGGCGAGAAGUAUGCGGAAUGCGUAGUGUAGCGGUGAAAUGCAUAGAUAUCGCGCAGAACUCCGAUUGCGAAGGCAGCAUACCGGCGCGCAACUGACGCUCAUGCACGAAAGCGUGGGUAUCGAACAGGAUUAGAUACCCGAGUAGUC
Molecule: ribosomal RNA, 459 nt
Filed under: uncultured bacterium
Lineage: Bacteria
Description: partial 16S ribosomal RNA
Rfam family: Bacterial small subunit ribosomal RNA
Source: RNAcentral